This 580-nucleotide long non-coding RNA is filed under the name Coffea arabica (coffee). RNAcentral describes it as "long non-coding RNA (CARA_LNC003083)". Lineage: Eukaryota; Viridiplantae; Streptophyta; Magnoliopsida; Gentianales; Rubiaceae. The record is from RNAcentral.
CUGGUCAUGUCUGGUACAAUGAAGAUACAUGACUGAGUACCAUCAAAUUUGCUGAUGCAAAAUAGAGGAACUUGAAAGUUAUCGACAGAAUGCCAUCAAAGACUUCAGUUGACUGGAAAGUUUUAGCCCCCUUCCAGUUGUCUUUUAAUGGAGUUAAAUGUUGCAAAUUGGUGCAUCUCGUGAUAUGUAAGCAUAUGUUUAACAUAUUUAUGUAGUUUAUAAAGGAGUAUGUUUGGGCAUUUGCUACCUCAUUGGGUUAAAUGUGAGCAAAUAUAUGCCAUGAUAUCAAUUUUCUUGCAUGGUGUGGGCAAUAUAUGAUCUGGGCAUGGUUUUCACAUUUCAGUCCUGUCGAUCUUCAGUUCAAUCCCCCUUCCAGUUGUCUUGUAAUGGAGUUAAAUGUUGCAAAUUGGCGCAUCUCGUGAUAUGUAAGCAUAAGUUUAACAUAUUUAUGUAGUUUAUACAUGAGUAUGUUUGGGCAUUUGCUACCGCAUUGGGUUAAAUGUGAGCGAAUAUAUGCCAUGAUAUCAAUUUUCUUGCAUGGUGUGGGCAAUAUAUGAUCUGGGCAUGGUUUUCACAUUUC